Molecule: ribosomal RNA, 2931 nt
Filed under: Escherichia coli
Lineage: Bacteria; Pseudomonadati; Pseudomonadota; Gammaproteobacteria; Enterobacterales; Enterobacteriaceae
Description: 23S ribosomal RNA
Rfam family: Bacterial large subunit ribosomal RNA
Source: RNAcentral
GGGUUGUGAGGUUAAGCGACUAAGCGUACACGGUGGAUGCCCUGGCAGUCAGAGGCGAUGAAGGACGUGCUAAUCUGCGAUAAGCGUCGGUAAGGUGAUAUGAACCGUUAUAACCGGCGAUUUCCGAAUGGGGAAACCCAGUGUGUUUCGACACACUAUCAUUAACUGAAUCCAUAGGUUAAUGAGGCGAACCGGGGGAACUGAAACAUCUAAGUACCCCGAGGAAAAGAAAUCAACCGAGAUUCCCCCAGUAGCGGCGAGCGAACGGGGAGCAGCCCAGAGCCUGAAUCAGUGUGUGUGUUAGUGGAAGCGUCUGGAAAGGCGCGCGAUACAGGGUGACAGCCCCGUACACAAAAAUGCACAUGCUGUGAGCUCGAUGAGUAGGGCGGGACACGUGGUAUCCUGUCUGAAUAUGGGGGGACCAUCCUCCAAGGCUAAAUACUCCUGACUGACCGAUAGUGAACCAGUACCGUGAGGGAAAGGCGAAAAGAACCCCGGCGAGGGGAGUGAAAAAGAACCUGAAACCGUGUACGUACAAGCAGUGGGAGCACGCUUAGGCGUGUGACUGCGUACCUUUUGUAUAAUGGGUCAGCGACUUAUAUUCUGUAGCAAGGUUAACCGAAUAGGGGAGCCGAAGGGAAACCGAGUCUUAACUGGGCGUUAAGUUGCAGGGUAUAGACCCGAAACCCGGUGAUCUAGCCAUGGGCAGGUUGAAGGUUGGGUAACACUAACUGGAGGACCGAACCGACUAAUGUUGAAAAAUUAGCGGAUGACUUGUGGCUGGGGGUGAAAGGCCAAUCAAACCGGGAGAUAGCUGGUUCUCCCCGAAAGCUAUUUAGGUAGCGCCUCGUGAAUUCAUCUCCGGGGGUAGAGCACUGUUUCGGCAAGGGGGUCAUCCCGACUUACCAACCCGAUGCAAACUGCGAAUACCGGAGAAUGUUAUCACGGGAGACACACGGCGGGUGCUAACGUCCGUCGUGAAGAGGGAAACAACCCAGACCGCCAGCUAAGGUCCCAAAGUCAUGGUUAAGUGGGAAACGAUGUGGGAAGGCCCAGACAGCCAGGAUGUUGGCUUAGAAGCAGCCAUCAUUUAAAGAAAGCGUAAUAGCUCACUGGUCGAGUCGGCCUGCGCGGAAGAUGUAACGGGGCUAAACCAUGCACCGAAGCUGCGGCAGCGACGCUGAUGCGUUGUUGGGUAGGGGAGCGUUCUGUAAGCCUGCGAAGGUGUGCUGUGAGGCAUGCUGGAGGUAUCAGAAGUGCGAAUGCUGACAUAAGUAACGAUAAAGCGGGUGAAAAGCCCGCUCGCCGGAAGACCAAGGGUUCCUGUCCAACGUUAAUCGGGGCAGGGUGAGUCGACCCCUAAGGCGAGGCCGAAAGGCGUAGUCGAUGGGAAACAGGUUAAUAUUCCUGUACUUGGUGUUACUGCGAAGGGGGGACGGAGAAGGCUAUGUUGGCCGGGCGACGGUUGUCCCGGUUUAAGCGUGUAGGCUGGUUUUCCAGGCAAAUCCGGAAAAUCAAGGCUGAGGCGUGAUGACGAGGCACUACGGUGCUGAAGCAACAAAUGCCCUGCUUCCAGGAAAAGCCUCUAAGCAUCAGGUAACAUCAAAUCGUACCCCAAACCGACACAGGUGGUCAGGUAGAGAAUACCAAGGCGCUUGAGAGAACUCGGGUGAAGGAACUAGGCAAAAUGGUGCCGUAACUUCGGGAGAAGGCACGCUGAUAUGUAGGUGAAGUCCCUUGCGGAUGGAGCUGAAAUCAGUCGAAGAUACCAGCUGGCUGCAACUGUUUAUUAAAAACACAGCACUGUGCAAACACGAAAGUGGACGUAUACGGUGUGACGCCUGCCCGGUGCCGGAAGGUUAAUUGAUGGGGUCAGCGCAAGCGAAGCUCUUGAUCGAAGCCCCGGUAAACGGCGGCCGUAACUAUAACGGUCCUAAGGUAGCGAAAUUCCUUGUCGGGUAAGUUCCGACCUGCACGAAUGGCGUAAUGAUGGCCAGGCUGUCUCCACCCGAGACUCAGUGAAAUUGAACUCGCUGUGAAGAUGCAGUGUACCCGCGGCAAGACGGAAAGACCCCGUGAACCUUUACUAUAGCUUGACACUGAACAUUGAGCCUUGAUGUGUAGGAUAGGUGGGAGGCUUUGAAGUGUGGACGCCAGUCUGCAUGGAGCCGACCUUGAAAUACCACCCUUUAAUGUUUGAUGUUCUAACGUGGACCCGUGAUCCGGGUUGCGGACAGUGUCUGGUGGGUAGUUUGACUGGGGCGGUCUCCUCCUAAAGAGUAACGGAGGAGCACGAAGGUUGGCUAAUCCUGGUCGGACAUCAGGAGGUUAGUGCAAUGGCAUAAGCCAGCUUGACUGCGAGCGUGACGGCGCGAGCAGGUGCGAAAGCAGGUCAUAGUGAUCCGGUGGUUCUGAAUGGAAGGGCCAUCGCUCAACGGAUAAAAGGUACUCCGGGGAUAACAGGCUGAUACCGCCCAAGAGUUCAUAUCGACGGCGGUGUUUGGCACCUCGAUGUCGGCUCAUCACAUCCUGGGGCUGAAGUAGGUCCCAAGGGUAUGGCUGUUCGCCAUUUAAAGUGGUACGCGAGCUGGGUUUAGAACGUCGUGAGACAGUUCGGUCCCUAUCUGCCGUGGGCGCUGGAGAACUGAGGGGGGCUGCUCCUAGUACGAGAGGACCGGAGUGGACGCAUCACUGGUGUUCGGGUUGUCAUGCCAAUGGCACUGCCCGGUAGCUAAAUGCGGAAGAGAUAAGUGCUGAAAGCAUCUAAGCACGAAACUUGCCCCGAGAUGAGUUCUCCCUGACCCUUUAAGGGUCCUGAAGGAACGUUGAAGACGACGACGUUGAUAGGCCGGGUGUGUAAGCGCAGCGAUGCGUUGAGCUAACCGGUACUAAUGAACCGUGAGGCUUAACCUUACAACGCCGAAGGUGUUU